CGAUUUGCACGUCAGUAUCGCUACGAACCUCCAUCAGGGUUUCCCCUGACUUCAUUCUACUCAGGCAUAGUUCACCAUCUUUCGGGUCCUAACAGAUAUGCUCCAACUCAAACCUCUCUCAGAGAUCGUGGUCGGUCGUAGGUGCGAAGAAUGGCAAAGCCAAAAUCUCCCUACUCUCACUUUCAUUGCGCAUACAGGAGUAAAACCCGCAUACUCGCACAUAUGUUAGACUCCUUG
RNAcentral lists this ribosomal RNA (237 nucleotides) under Toxoplasma gondii FOU. Its description in RNAcentral is "partial 28S ribosomal RNA". The record is from RNAcentral. Lineage: Eukaryota; Apicomplexa; Conoidasida; Eucoccidiorida; Sarcocystidae.